UACGAAGGGGGCUAGUGUUGCUCGGAAUCACUGGGCGUAAAGCGCACGUAGGCGGAUCUUUAAGUCAGGGGUGAAAUCCUGGAGCUCAACUCCAGAACUGCCUUUGAUACUGAAGAUCUUGAGUUCGGGAGAGGUGAGUGGAACUGCGAGUGUAGAGGUGAAAUUCGUAGAUAUUCGCAAGAACACCAGUGGCGAAGGCGGCUCACUGGCCCGAUACUGACGCUGAGGCACGAAAGCGUGGGGAGCAAACAGG
Molecule: ribosomal RNA, 253 nt
Filed under: uncultured bacterium
Lineage: Bacteria
Description: partial 16S ribosomal RNA
Rfam family: Bacterial small subunit ribosomal RNA
Source: RNAcentral